CUUGAGGGGACGUUAUGGGAUGUGUGGAGAAGACAGGGAGGUUCAGCAGGACGAACAGACCACUGCGACCUGACUGUCAGAGGUCGGCAGCCAUCUUAGGUAACUCCAUGUGGCAGAUUAAACAUGUUUGUCUUCAAAUCGUGUGUUUGGAACUGAACAUGAUACUUGGACGGAUCUACUGGAUCUCUGGGAAUAAGAACAAACCACUUCUGUCUGACUGACGCUUCAUCGAGUGACGGUAAGAGAGCUGAGCGACAGAUAAAGAGGCUGAUGCAUUCUGAGAGGGGCUCAUUAUCAUGCAUGAGGGGGAGAAGACACUACAGGUCAGCUGACCUUUGACCUCCACGAGUGAGACCCUGGAGUCAAACGGAGAAUGUGGAAGCAGCUCGGGCGUGAGGGAUGACGGAGGACGAAGAUUAAGAACGAGGACGGACUGCAGGAGGAACGCUGAGUGAUGCUGUGAUCAGCUGAGUCGUCUAACGAGGCCGUAAUGAGACAAACACACUGAGAGGCUUAAAUCCUGUUUGUCGAGACAAAGACACGACAAGCUUCAUGUGAAAUGACAGACUGAGGAAAUAUUGACAGUGGGAUUGUCUCAAUAUGUUCUGAGACGGAGGUCGAGGAGGAAACGCUCUGUUUUUUUUCUCUCCUUUUGAAUCAUCUGCUGGAGCGUCCAUCAUUUAACUGCAUCAUCCUCCAACUAAGGCUCAAAUAAUCUUUACCGCGCUAAAGAAAUAUCCACCGUCUGCUCGAAUGACACAAAACAUCCCACGCUGACGUCCAUGUAACCGUGUUGAUGUUAGAAAAAGCAGCGAACGCUUCGGCUCUGCAGCCUCUCAGGAACAACGAGCUCUGAUAGAAGAUGAACGUUUAUCUGCUGCAUGUUUUACAAGUUGAUCACUUUAAUUUCUGCUGUUGUAUCACCGCGUUGUGUCAGAGAUGUGAGUGCAUGAAUGUGCAUGAUGCUCCUCAAAGUCCUCCUCACUCCUCCUGACAGCUUCUCACCUUAAUAUCUCUUUAAGAUGAUGCUUUGUGAGUGGAUCCUGAGUUGAGAUGAUUCUCAGUCGUCGUGGUUGAAACGUGGAUCAAACUUUACUCCUGUUUGAUUGCAGAUCUAUGUUCUACCUUUAAAACCCUCCCAGAACAAUCAGACACGAGCUGUUUUCUGUCACUCUGAUUUUGAUACAGAAUGAAUGCAAAUAAAGAACAAAGA
Acanthopagrus latus (yellowfin seabream) is the source of this 1213-nucleotide long non-coding RNA. RefSeq lists it as uncharacterized. The transcript has 3 exons. NCBI's taxonomy places the organism in Eukaryota, Metazoa, Chordata, Actinopteri, Spariformes, Sparidae. The record is from RefSeq and is a predicted model, not a curated record.